UUUCAGCAUUUGUUUUAAAAAAAAGAACCUUCCUCCCUCUCUUUUUUUCUCUCUGCAGAAGCCUUAGGCCGAUCAGAGCUCCAGCGAACCGCUGCCGCGACCACCGCCCUCGACCGCUGUGCACAGUUGUUGGAGCUCGGAAAGAAGCCCCCUUUUUAGUCAAUCGGAGAAUAGGUAAUAAAUCCCUCUCUUUUUUUGUGUGUGUUUUUGAUAUAUAUAGGUAUAUAUAUAUAAUUUCCGAAAAAGAAAAUAAAAAUAAAAUGAAGAGGUACCCUUAGCACGUCUCAAACUUUGGAUUCUCUUUCGAAAUUCUUGUUUUUUUUUUUGUAUCUUUCUCUGUUUUUUAUUUCAAAAAAUCCCCCUUUUACAUUGAUAAACGAUGGCUUUUUAUAGUCGAUUAUGUUACAUUGUUUGCUACUAUUCAUGCACUAUUUAUUUCCUAUUUUUGCGCUGCUGUUGCGUGUUCUUCUUCUUAUUUGUAGAAUGAUUGAUGGCGGUGGAGCAAGUGGCUGACAGAGGAGUGCGGGGUGCUUGAACAUGCGGCUAGGGUUUUCUUUCUUUCUUUUUUUUUUGGCUAAAAAUGUUUAGGUUGUGGGCUUUUGGACUGCUAGAGUUUUUUAGGUUUUGGGCUAGUGUUUAAUUUUGGUUUGGGCUUGUAAUUUAUUGGGCUGUGUUUGUAAUUUAGACUUUGGAUUUAUUAUUAUUAUUUUAUAUUUGUAAUUUGUCUUAAGCCCAGGCCAAAAUUAACCUUUUACAAUGAGUGACACCAAUUCAAUCAAAAUCUUUAUAUAUAACAUAGAUAAUUUAGUACAAAUUACACAUUCAUUGUGUGAAAAUUAAUAAAUAAAAAUACGUAAAAGCAAAAGUAA
RNAcentral lists this long non-coding RNA (869 nucleotides) under Gossypium barbadense (sea-island cotton). Its description in RNAcentral is "long non-coding RNA (GBAR_LNC008875)". Lineage: Eukaryota; Viridiplantae; Streptophyta; Magnoliopsida; Malvales; Malvaceae. The record is from RNAcentral.